UGGUGAGAGAGUGAGAAGCGAUGGCCCAGACAGCCACCCACUGGAGUGGAAGCCAGCAUGGCAGGCAGGAUGGGGCCUCAGUAUGACAAGCAUAUAACAACCUUGGACUGUUGGAUCCUGCCAGCCACCUGGAGGGCCUCAGGGAAAGACUUGGGACCCUACCCGGUGUCAACGGAAGGACUUUUGCCUGCAGGUUUACAGUAAUUGGUUUACAACUGGGCUAGAAGAAAAAUAAAAUGAAACAAAAUGUUCCUGAGUAUCCUGCACUACCUAAGGAGACCACAACAUUUCCAUGCUGCACUAAAGACACAUCUUCCAAGGUCAAGGGUUUCUCUGUUUACCUUUGGAGCCUAUCCUGGCACUCGCUCUGGAGACCGGGCUGGCCUCGAACUGAGAUCUGCCUGCCUCUACCUCCCGAGAGCUGGGAUUAAAGGUGUGAGCCACCAACGCCCGGCACAGGAGAUGCUCUUGUAUGAGGGAAAAACAAACAAGCAAACUGAGACAAGACAGAUCUACCCAGUGUGUUAGAAGAGCGGGAGUGACCUUUAGGCAAUUAAGCCUGAUUCCAGGAAACGUGCUGGGACUCAAACAGUUCACAGAGGAAUUGAAGCCUGAGUGCAGCCUAGGCUCAUGGAGGACCAGGGAAGGCAUUUCUGGGCUCUGGGGCAUCCCUGAUCCAGGACGAGUGUGUGUGAGGCGGUGCCAGGCCCUCAAGCCUGCCUCUCACCUUAGCUUCGCCUGUGAAUGUCCUCUUAGACCCCAGCACAAAGGCAUAAGCCACGCCCAGUGGGGAAAGCACAGCAUACUCUCUACAGAGCAGGAUCGGACUUUCCAACUGCACAGCCUACAGCCCUUGAGAUAGCUAGAAACAGGCCAGCCUCGGAUUGUCUGGAGGGGCACGCCUACAAGCACCGGAGAGGAUUUUCUCGCCUCUCUAGAGUCUGGGUAAGGAGAAAGUAUUGCUUGUUUAGAGGAAUUUGACCUUAAGACUUCACAGAAAAAGAAGAUGCAAGGAGGUCGUCAGAAAAAGAAAUGCCCUUUUAGAUUUUUUACUAUCAGUUCUGAAAGGGGCCGAGCCAAAGCGCGCUAGGGGAGCAGUAAUUUGAAUUUAUUUUUCUCCCGGGAAUCAGCUCAGUUGCACUGUUCUUCAUCAUGCUAAGGUCUUACCUCAGAUAAAAAUAUCGUGGCUCUGAAAAUAAAACUUGGGGGCAAGAGAGGUUGGGGACCUAGAAGGAUUAUGGUUUUAAAACUCCAAAGCCUUUUCCUUUUAAGCACAAAUUCCAAUUAACAUUUAAAGACCACUCCAAUACAAUCCUUCCAAAACCAAACCCGGAGAGACAGCCCAAUGCAGCAAGAGAUAUACCCAUUGGCGGUCCAAAAGGGAUUAGAAGCAAGAGCAAGAAAAAUCCCUGUAGUAACAAACUGUAUCGGCGCCUUCACCUUUAAGCCCCAGUGAGACACUCCUGGCUAGAAAAUGGCAAUGCUGAAGACAGAGACACCAUCUGAGCAUCAAUAAUAAAACAUUGCUUCCCAUUUCUCCCUGCAUUUGUCAAGGUAGUACUUGGACACACAUCACCUCGACACCGGCCCCGGGUCUCAGGCUUAAGGAUGCCCUGAUACCAUCUCAGAACAUGUUUCUGCUUUGAUAUUCUAUAGCGCUCAGAUACCGGCGACGCAUCUACAUAAAUCAGCAGAGAAAGGAUUCCAUUACCAGCGACGGCCACAUCCCAUUCAGUGAUUGAAAAGCGCAACUCUGUUUUCCAAUGUGCACUCCGAGAUGGAAGUGUCAUCGUGUGGAAUGAAAUGGCAUGGAUUACAGGCCUGGUACCUAUAUGCUUAUGAGUCCCUGUUUGCAGCAAGCCCGACUCUGCCCGGAUUUCUAAAUUGGUUUUUGAACUCCUGCCUGUAACGUUGACAGGCACAAUGUAUUUAUUCAAGGAGAGCUCUGUAGAGGGGAAGCAGGUGACCCACAGAUUGUACCAUAACUUUCCCCAAACUGCCGUUCAUUAAACAUGUUCCGUCUCAUGAACCAUGAAG
This 2037-nucleotide long non-coding RNA is filed under the name Cricetulus griseus (Chinese hamster). RNAcentral's name for it is "lncRNA (ENSCGRG00015040281.1)". The record is from RNAcentral. Lineage: Eukaryota; Metazoa; Chordata; Mammalia; Rodentia; Cricetidae.